Molecule: ribosomal RNA, 497 nt
Filed under: uncultured bacterium
Lineage: Bacteria
Description: partial 16S ribosomal RNA
Rfam family: Bacterial small subunit ribosomal RNA
Source: RNAcentral
GAUGAACGCUGGCGGCGUGCCUAAUACAUGCAAGUCGAGCGAACAGACGAGGAGCUUGCUCCUCUGACGUUAGCGGCGGACGGGUGAGUAACACGUGGAUAACCUACCUAUAAGACUGGGAUAACUUCGGGAAACCGGAGCUAAUACCGGAUAAUAUAUUGAACCGCAUGGUUCAAUAGUGAAAGACGGUUUUGCUGUCACUUAUAGAUGGAUCCGCGCCGCUUUAGCUAGUUGGUAAGGUAACGGCUUACCAAGGCGACGAUGCGUAGCCGACCUGAGAGGGUGAUCGGCCACACUGGAACUGAGACACGGUCCAGACUCCUACGGGAGGCAGCAGUAGGGAAUCUUCCGCAAUGGGCGAAAGCCUGACGGAGCAACGCCGCAUGAGUGAUGAAGGUCUUCGGAUCGUAAAACUCUGUUAUUAGGGAAGAACAAAUGUGUAAGUAACUAUGCACGUCUUGACGGUACCUAAUCAGAAAGCCACGGCUAACUACGUG